This 253-nucleotide ribosomal RNA is filed under the name uncultured bacterium. RNAcentral describes it as "partial 16S ribosomal RNA". It matches the Rfam family "Bacterial small subunit ribosomal RNA", at positions 524 to 776 of the family's 1533-position model. The record is from RNAcentral.
UACGGAGGGUGCAAGCGUUGUCCGGAAUUAUUGGGCGUAAAGCGCGCGCAGGCGGCUUCUUAAGUCUGAUGUGAAAGCCCACGGCUCAACCGUGGAGGGUCAUUGGAAACUGGGGAGCUUGAGUACAGAAGAGGAGAGUGGAAUUCCAUGUGUAGCGGUGAAAUGCGUAGAUAUAUGGAGGAACACCAGUGGCGAAGGCGGCUCUCUGGUCUGUAACUGACGCUGAGGAGCGAAAGCAUGGGGAGCGAACAGG